This is a long non-coding RNA of Harpia harpyja (harpy eagle), 4174 nucleotides long. RefSeq lists it as uncharacterized. The transcript is spliced from 6 exons. NCBI's taxonomy places the organism in Eukaryota, Metazoa, Chordata, Aves, Accipitriformes, Accipitridae. The record is from RefSeq and is a predicted model, not a curated record.
GUAAACCGGCGGAACUAUCCUCAGUCAAAAAGAGGAAAUUUAGUAAAGAGAAUUAAAACCGGUGCAUAUAAAAGGAGGAAGGCAAGUGGGCAUGGAGGAUGCUGAAACAGCAUCAUUACCUUAUGUGCAGAGGAUGCUUCACGUUGAUGACCUGUGUUGUGCUCACCUAGCUGUGGUGAGCUGACCCCGACAAGCAGUAAGAAGUUUUUAUGUGGUAGAAGAGGUGUGGACUUGCGUCACAGACGGAGUGGGAAGAUCCAAAAAAUUUAAAACCGAAGAAGCAGCAGUGCGUCAGAAACCUCAUCUACUCACAACACUUACGGGCAAGAACCAGACCAAUUCAGACAGAGGAGAGAAGGAGGAGAGCUCUUUUUCCAUUACUGCUUCAAGGAAGAGAAUUAGUAUUUGAUAAGAAAAAUCAAUUAGCUGACAAGUAAGAUGGAGAUUCUGAACACAACCUAUGGAAACCAUCCUUGAAGAAAACCUUUAAUGUAGAGGAUCCGUGAUGGCUUUGCAGUGUCUUCUCUCGGGCUCACUGGGUCCCCAGAGGUUGUUCUGCUGCCAAGCUCUGAACCAUCUUUUUGCUGCUGAUGCUGUCAGAGGCUCCGUCACCAGGUGAUGUGUGCUGCUUACUGCCGAGGCUGAGUGGCUGGAAGGGAUGAAAAUCCCCAAUGCACGGGAAGGAGCUUUAACAACAUCCUAGGACUUGAACAAGCUGUCUUCUGUAGAAGGGAGAAUGUCUUUAAGCUCAGAUCACCUCACCUCGGGGAUGCCUGCUGGACCUUUUGAGAUUACAGUCAAGAAGUGGGGGUUGGACUCAGUAUGGAGAAGAUGGCUUUCUGCUGCCUUCCUGCUUGAACUCCACAGUCUUAAGAUCAGCUGAGCCCAAGAUCUGACUGACUGCUCCAAGGUUUGCCUGCAGUGGUUUUCUGUAGCUGUGCUGCAGAAGGGAAUAGCUGGUCCCUAUCCAAGUACAACCCUUUUGGCAUUUCCCUUACCUUGAUAACUCUAUUACAGUCAGGAAGCGACAGUGCACCAAGGCAGACUGUCAGCCAUGGCAGUGCUUCACACUGCCAUGGAAAGAUGGAAACACAGGUCAAAUGCAGACUCCGGAUCUGCAUUUAGCCCUCAAAAGCUCCUUUGCUCUAAUGCCAGCUCUAGCACCCCUUCCCUUUGUGGUCUUUUGGGGUCCAUUUAACGCUUCUGCCUCAGUUUCUUCCAUCUCUAAACCAGAGACAAUAUUCACAAGAAGGUGUAAGACCUGAUUAGUGUUUGUAAAGUGGGAGUUACUGAGUAUGUUGCUGUGGAUCUGUAGACUCAUACAUACCAAAGACAGAUAUUUCUUACAUAAAUAAUUAAUAGACAUAUCACUGUAAUCCCACUCAGUUCUGUAUUACUUCUGCUUGCAGGAUACAGAAUCAUAAAAUUGUUUAGGUUGGCAAAGACCCUUAAGAUCAUCAAGUCCAACUGUUAACCUAGCGCUGCCAGUCACCACUAAACCAUGUCCCUAAGUGCCAUGUCUACAGGUCUUUUAAAUCCCUCCAGGGAUGGUGACUCAACCACUUCCCUGGGCAGCCUGUUCCAAUGCUUGACAACCCUUUCGGUGAAGAAAUUCUUCCUAAUAUCCAGUCUAAACCUCCCCUGGUACCACUUGAGGCCAUUUCCUCUUGUCCUAUCGCUUGUUACUUGGGAGAAGAGACCAACCCCCACCUCGCUACAACCUCCUUUCAGGUAGUUGUAGAGAGCGAUAAGGUCUCCCCUCAGCCUCCUUUUCUCCAGGCUAAACAACCACAGUUUCCCCAGCCGUUCCUCAUAAGACUUGUGCUCCAGGCCCUUCACCAGCUUUGUUGCCCUUCUCUGGACACGCUCCAGCAACUCAAUGUCUUUCCUGUAGCGAGGGGCCGAAAACUGAACACAGUGCUCGAGGUGCAGUUGAAUAUGCCCAUACAUAGGCUGCUGUGUACAACUGACUGCCUUAGUAUUUAGUUUUCAUUUGUUGUAUGUGAAAAUUCCCAGUUGCCUGUGUUUUUGCAAGACUUUUUUCUACAUUUUUUUUCCUAGAUCACAAGAUUGUCCUGCAUGGGGCCAUUUUUUACCUUUCUGCCUUUGUUUGCCUGGUGUUUAGUAUGCUGCUGGUGUGGCUUGUACUUGGAGAUUUAGAUGCUACCUUAUUUACUAUUAAUGAUAAAAAAAAUUAUCCUGUUUAGGUGAUGAGAAUUUCAUCUGCCUUAAGCUCUGUUUAGUUUGCAUGGGCUACAGAAACAUUUUCCAAUUGGUACUGUGGACAAUUCUUUGAUUACAUUUUAACCAGGAUGAUUUUGUUUCUCUUCUGUGAAAGUAAGCAAUUCACUUUAAUCUUCCAUUUCAGUUUUUUCCCCCCACAUGCUAACUCAACAGAUUUAUCUAUAAAUUCUGAUGAAAGGAACAUUUAAAUCCACAUAAAACUAUGUUAAAUUGGAUUGUUUACAAAAACGAGGGCAUUCAUUUGUGCAAUUUUAAAAAAUUUUUUCAAGAAAAAGUUUGAGAUCUGAAUUACACUAUUAUAUCUUUUUAAAUGAGGACCUGUUUGAAAGUAGUAUAUAUUUCAUCACUACAUCUGACAUGGUGUCAGAAAAAACAAUUGGAUUUAUCUGAUUUAGUACUUAUUGCAUGCAUGCAGGGGAAAGAGCUACAUAAAAGUACUAGCAUAAGGGUUUAGUGGAUAUUUCUUUUCUAGGUAUUUAAUAAGCAAGUUGGAAAUUCAGAUUAAACAUCAUUCUCCCGUGUUUAGAGGACAGUAUGAGUCACCAGAAUCAGAAGGUUACAUUGGGUGUGCUUAUUUGGUGGUGUUAGAUAUGGAAACUUGUUUUAUAAUGCAUCUGUAGAAAUGGAAGUGGGCGUCUCAGUUCAUCUGUGAGCAAAAUGUUCCAUGUUGUUUUCUAUCAUGCUGAUUUUAUCCCCAUGCCUAAUAACAACCACUGUUAUCUGGGAUGAUACUCUAUGUGAUUGAACCAUUGAAUUUUCCUGUGAACAACACAAUCCUAUGUAACUUUGCGGUAUAUCCCCUUUUUUGUCACGGUGUUUACACUGUUGUUGCCUUGCCCAGUUGAAAUUCAGAAAGACUAUAUAUAUACUUUGGCUUGUUCAGUUUGUCUAAUAAAAUCCAAUAUUUGGGACUCUAGUGCUGUAAACUAUUUAAAGGCAGCUAGAAAGAUACAAACAACUCUUUACUGCUGUAAAGUAUUGCUUGCCUACAAACCCAGAUUUGUUAAAUUAUCUUGUUUUAGUCUAAACACAGCUGUAUUGCAAAAUGCAGAUUUCAAUGGUGUUGUAAAGCAGGUAUGUCUUUUUUUAUCCAAGUUUUUCAGCCUUUAAUAACAAUACCAAAUCUGAAAACCUACUUCUGAUUUUAAGCAGUUAAUUUAAGCAGUUGUUUAGUCUCCUCCUUUACCACCCAAACUGAAAAUGUUUCCUUACAGUGAAUGGGCCGUGUAGUUCUCUUGGCCUCUCUUUGGCCAUUUUUCUUUUAAUUUUUUAAGAGCACUGUACCAAACACUAAUUGAUUCUUCAGGAAAAGCUCUAUCACUGUAAAGGGACAGUAAAAUGUGUAUGUUCCAAGAACCUAAACACCUAAGUUGUCCAAUAAUUGGGUUUUUUAAGCGUCUAUUCUUGAAUUGUAGAAAUCUGAGGAAGAAAAAGUAAGACUGGACUUGGAUGAAUGGCAUCUGAAAUGUAGCCACACUGUAGUUUCCUGGGUGUUAACAUAUAUGCAACUAACACAAAUGAGCACAAUUAGCACAAAGUCCUGCAUCUACUCGUUAGGCUCAGGCUGAAGUGUUGCCCCAGUGAUGAAAAAAAAAUGCAUCCCUAAUACCUGAAAUCUUACUGCAAUGUCAGUUUGGCCAUUCGUUCUUCCUGGCUGAUGAGUUCUCAGGGGCUGUUCUGCACCCCUAAAAGAGACAAAAGUAAACACUGCUGAAAGGCGGUUGAGUACCAGAGGAGUAGAAGUUGGGGUGCUACAAAGGAAAGUUUAACUCUUGAAGUUGGUCAUAUUUUCUACGCAUAAAUUUGCCCUGUAACUUUGAAAUAUUUUGUUUAGAAAAUUAGAAAUGGCAACUAUCACCAUAAACCUCCAACAGUUUUGGUUUAGACUUAGAUUUCAAUUAGUUGGAACCCCCCUGAAAGUGGAAAGAAA